Molecule: ribosomal RNA, 496 nt
Filed under: uncultured bacterium
Lineage: Bacteria
Description: partial 16S ribosomal RNA
Rfam family: Bacterial small subunit ribosomal RNA
Source: RNAcentral
AUUGAACGCUGGCGGAAUGCUUUACACAUGCAAGUCGAACGGUAGAGGGGGCAACCCCUCGAGAGUGGCGAACGGGUGAGUAAUAUAUCGGAACGUGCCCAGUCGUGGGGGAUAACGUAGCGAAAGUUACGCUAAUAACGCAUACGAUCUAAGGAUGAAAGCGGGGGAUCGCAAGACCUCGCGCGAUUGGAGAGGCCGAAAGCAGAUUAGGUAGUUGGUGGGGUAAAGGCUCACCAAGCCAACGAUCUGUAGCUGGUCUGAGAAGACGACCAGCCACACGGGAACUGAGACACGGUCCAGACUCCGACGGGAGUCAGCAGUGGGGAAUUUUGGACAAUGGACGCAAGUCUGAUCCAGCCAUUCCGCGUGCAGGAUGAAGGCCCUCGGGUUGUAAACUGCUUUUGUACGGAACGAAAAGGUCUCUCUUAAUACGGGGGACUCAUGACGGUACCGUAAGAAUAAGCACCGGCUAACUACGUGCCAGCAGCCGCCGUAA